AUUGAACGCUGGCGGCAUGCUUUACACAUGCAAGUCGAACGGUAACAGGCCUUCGGGUGCUGACGAGUGGCGAACGGGUGAGUAAUGCAUCGGAACGUGCCCAGAGGUGGGGGAUAACGCAGCGAAAGCUGUGCUAAUACCGCCUGUGAUCUGAGGAUGAAAGCGGGGGACCAGGCAGCAAUGUUUGGCCUCGCGCCUUUGGAGCGGCCGAUGUCAGAUUAGGUAGUUGGUGGGGUAAAGGCCUACCAAGCCGACGAUCUGUAGCUGGUCUGAGAGGACGACCGGCCACACGGGACCGGGGACCCGUCCCGGCCCCCAACGGGAGGCAGCGUUGGGGAAUUUUGGACAAUGGGCGCAAGCCUGACCCAGCAAUGCCGCUUGCUGGAAGAAGGCUUUCGGUUUGUAAACCGCUUUGGUGCGGAACAAAAGGGGUCUGGCUAAUACCUGGGGCUGAGGACGGAACCAUAAGAAAAAGCACCGGCUAACUACGU
RNAcentral lists this ribosomal RNA (491 nucleotides) under uncultured bacterium. RNAcentral describes it as "partial 16S ribosomal RNA". It matches the Rfam family "Bacterial small subunit ribosomal RNA", at positions 29 to 506 of the family's 1533-position model. The record is from RNAcentral.